GGAGCAAACAGGAUUAGAUACCCUGGUAGUCCACGCUGUAAACGAUGUCGAUUUGGAGGUUGUGCCCUUGAGGCGUGGCUUCCGGAGCUAACGCGUUAAAUCGACCGCCUGGGGAGUACGGCCGCAAGGUUAAAACUCAAAUGAAUUGACGGGGGCCCGCACAAGCGGUGGAGCAUGUGGUUUAAUUCGAUGCAACGCGAAGAACCUUACCUGGUCUUGACAUCCACAGAAGUUUCCAGAGAUGGGAAUGUGCCUUCGGGAACUGUGAGACAGGUGCUGCAUGGCUGUCGUCAGCUCGUGUUGUGAAAUGUUGGGUUAAGUCCCGCAACGAGCGCAACCCUUAUCCUUUGUUGCCAGCGGUCCGGCCGGGAACUCAAAGGAGACUGCCAGUGAUAAACUGGAGGAAGGUGGGGAUGACGUCAAGUCAUCAUGGCCCUUACGACCAGGGCUACACACGUGCUACAAUGGCGCAUACAAAGAGAAGCGACCUCGCGAGAGCAAGCGGACCUCAUAAAGUGCGUCGUAGUCCGGAUUGGAGUCUGCAACUCGACUCCAUGAAGUCGGAAUCGCUAGUAAUCGUGAAUCAGAAUGUCACGGUGAAUACGUUCCCGGGCCUUGUACACACCGCCCGUCACANCCAUGGGAGUGGGUUGCAAAAGAAGUAGGUAGCUUAA
RNAcentral lists this ribosomal RNA (674 nucleotides) under Shigella flexneri. Its description in RNAcentral is "bacterial SSU rRNA". It matches the Rfam family "Bacterial small subunit ribosomal RNA", at positions 765 to 1438 of the family's 1533-position model. Lineage: Bacteria; Pseudomonadati; Pseudomonadota; Gammaproteobacteria; Enterobacterales; Enterobacteriaceae. The record is from RNAcentral.